AUUGAACGCUGGCGGCAUGCCUUACACAUGCAAGUCGAACGGCAGCACGGGAGCAAUCCUGGUGGCGAGUGGCGAACGGGUGAGUAAUAUAUCGGAACGUGCCCAGUCGUGGGGAUAACGUAGCGAAAGCUACGCUAAUACCGCAUACGAUCUACGGAUGAAAGCGGGGGGAUCGCAAGACCUCGCGCGAUUGGAGCGGCCGAUAUCAGAUUAGGUAGUUGGUGAGGUAAAGGCUCACCAAGCCGACGAUCUGUAGCUGGUCUGAGAGGACGACCAGCCACACUGGGACUGAGACACGGCCCAGACUCCUACGGGAGGCAGCAGUGGGGAAUUUUGGGACAAUGGGCGCAAGCCUGAUCCAGCAAUGCCGCGUGCAGGAUGAAGG
Molecule: ribosomal RNA, 385 nt
Filed under: uncultured bacterium
Lineage: Bacteria
Description: bacterial SSU rRNA
Rfam family: Bacterial small subunit ribosomal RNA
Source: RNAcentral